This 1504-nucleotide long non-coding RNA is filed under the name Cicer arietinum (chickpea). Its description in RNAcentral is "long non-coding RNA (CARI_LNC000374)". The record is from RNAcentral. Lineage: Eukaryota; Viridiplantae; Streptophyta; Magnoliopsida; Fabales; Fabaceae.
UCACUCAUUGCAAAAACCAAUACCAAAUUUGCUUAGUUGCUACCUCUAAUCUCUUUACCCAUUUCUCUUCAUAAACCAAAAUCUUCCAUACGAUGAUCCUAUUUAUGAACAUUAAUCUUUUCAAUUUGGCUUGCUUUUUUAUUACAAUGACCAAAAAGCAUUUUUGUCAUGGUGAAUGGCCAUUGAUUUUGGUGGAGUGUAUGUAUGUUUCUCUCUUAUUCUCUCCCUUCCCCCUCUCCUAGUUUAUUGCAAGCAAAAUAUUCAAGGGGAAUAAACAUCUAAUUUGGUUACAUACCACUUUGCUAAUGUGUUAUUAAGUUAUUGGAGUUCAAAUAUAGGAAAUAGAAGAAAAGUGUUUGAUUAAUUAAGGGUUCAAUCUUAGACAUUACUUGGUCUAAUGAUUUAGUAUAAUAACUAUAUUAAAAUAGUAUGAUUAGCUGUUUUUUUUUUAAAAAAAACAUUUCAUGAGUAAAACUCACACACACUAAUUUCUUUUUUUAUAAAAAAUAUCUCAUAUUUAUAUUUUGACUCCAAUAUAUUAAAUGUCUCUCGAUCUUUUAGCAUUUAAAUUAUAAUCAUGAAACUAAAUAAACAAUAUGAUUAGUUUUACAUUACGGCUAAUCAAAUUUUAAUCUUAUCAUAAUUAUAAUAUAUUUUUCUUAAAAAUAUGUUUACAUGUAUUAUUAUAUAAACAUUGUUGUGAAAUAUAGUUGGACAUCAUUGUAUACUUUUUUUGGUAAUUAGAAUGUCGUUGUUAAUAUUUAUUUUUUUUAUUAAACAUCAUUGUUAAUCUUAAUUUACACUAUUAAUAUAUUGUUAUUAACCUCAUGAUAAAAAUAUAUAUUUUGUAAGUUAAGAUUAACAAUAUUUUGUAAGUUCUUCUCUUCUUUUUCAAUAAGUUAUAUUUUUCUUCUUUAAUCUACAUUAUUAUAUUUGAAGCUGCUAGUUUGUGUAUAUAUAGGCCCAACACAACACUGUGGCCACAGUAGAUAAUAGAUCUUUAAUUAAAAAAAAAAAAAAAGAUAAUAGAUCUAGAACUAGAACCACAAAUUUGAAGCCUCAAGGAUAGGGUUUUAUCAUUAAUAACAUCCAUUGCUUGUGUGGUCCAUCACAUAUGAACCAUUGGUUACAAACGGAUCAUAGAGAAAAUACAUUCAAUUGAUUUUGAAUAUUUUCUUCUUGAGUCAUAUUCAACAAUUUUAUUAUAGUGCAAAAACUUCGAACUUAAUUAUUUUCAACAUUUUUUUUUUGCCAUUUUGAUAUUAGAUUGUUAAAAUAAUAACCAAAUUCAUUUGUUGAUAUGAUAAAAUAAGUGAGAGAAAAAUCAUCAUAGUUAAAAUAUAUAAAUAAUUCAGUAAUAUAGUUGCUCAAUUUCAUCCUUGAGAGGCCAUUAACAAAAAUGAGGCUUUCCUUUUUUUUUUUUUUCCUUCAAAUGAUUUCUUAUUGAUAAAGAGCAACAUUCUAAAUUAUAUAAGCGUAUAUUUGAUAUUACGUGAAAUUUUUU